UACGUAGGGGGCUAGCGUUGUCCGGAAUCAUUGGGCGUAAAGCGCGCGUAGGCGGCCCGAUAAGUCUGCUGUGAAAGUCCAGGGCUCAACCCUGGGAUGCCGGUGGAAACUGUCGGGCUAGAGUCCGGAAGAGGCGAGUGGAAUUCCUGGUGUAGCGGUGAAAUGCGCAGAUAUCAGGAGGAACACCGGUGGCGAAGGCGGCAUCCUGGACCGGUAUUGACGCUGAGGCGCGAAAGCUAGGGGAGCAAACGGG
RNAcentral lists this ribosomal RNA (253 nucleotides) under uncultured bacterium. Its description in RNAcentral is "partial 16S ribosomal RNA". It matches the Rfam family "Bacterial small subunit ribosomal RNA", at positions 524 to 776 of the family's 1533-position model. The record is from RNAcentral.